RNAcentral lists this long non-coding RNA (300 nucleotides) under Panax ginseng (ginseng). RNAcentral describes it as "long non-coding RNA (PGIN_LNC008014)". The record is from RNAcentral. Lineage: Eukaryota; Viridiplantae; Streptophyta; Magnoliopsida; Apiales; Araliaceae.
CCAAAUAAGUCCUCAUUAAUUAUUCAUACAUUAUUUUACAAAAAUAGUGAGGACAACUAAAACAUCUUCCUAGCACCAUCACUCCAUACCCCGACUCGAUCCUGCUAUGUUCUCACUUCCUGAGAAGAAAAAUGGAACAAAAAGGAAAAGGGUGAGCUCAACUAGCCCAGUAAAGAAUAUUAUGACUAAGAUAAUAUACAACAAAUUAUCGUUAGUCUUCAACAGGGAAAAAUCUAAUAGAAUACAAUAGACAACAAGUUUUAGAUCAACAAAUGCAGCGGAAACAGCAAUCCAUUAGAA